RNAcentral lists this ribosomal RNA (738 nucleotides) under marine metagenome. RNAcentral's name for it is "bacterial SSU rRNA". It matches the Rfam family "Bacterial small subunit ribosomal RNA", at positions 763 to 1520 of the family's 1533-position model. The record is from RNAcentral.
GGGGAGCGAAGGGGAUUAGAUACCCCCGUAGUCCACGCCCUAAACUAUGCGUGCUCGGUGUUGGGAGUUCAAUCUUUCCCAGUGCCCCAGCUAACGCGGUAAGCACGCCGCCUGAGUAGUACGGCCGCAAGGCUAAAACUUAAAGGAAUAGACGGGGACCCACACAAGCGGUGGAGCAUGGGGUUUAAUUCGAUAAUAAGCGGAGCACCUCACCCAGACUUGACAUCCCGAGAACGUUCUAGAAAUAGAGCAGUGCCGCAAGGAACUCGGUGACAGGUGGUGCACGGUCGUCGUCAGCUCGUGCUUUGAAGUGUACUGUUAAGUCAGCAAACGAGCGCAACCCUCAUCCUAUGUUGUUUUUUCAUAGGAGACUGCCGCCUCCAAGGCGGAGGAAGGUGAGGAUGACGUCAGAUCUGCGUGUCCCUUACGUCUGGGGCAACACCCGUGCUACAAUGGCCGGUACAAAGGGCAGCGAACCCGCGAGGGGGAGCCAAUCUCAAAAAACCGGUCUCAGUUCGGAUUGAAGUCUGCAACUCGACUUCAUGAAGUUGGAAUCGCUAGUAAACGUGAAUCAGCUACGUCACGUUGAAUAUGUUCCUGGGUCUUGUACUCACCGCCCGUCAACUCAUGAAAGGCAGGGGCGCCCGAAGCACCUUUAUUCUUCGGAAGAGGUACCACGGUGAAACUGCUGAUUGGGAGUAAGUCGUAACAAGGUAUCCGUAGGAGAACCUGCGGAUG